Molecule: long non-coding RNA, 1941 nt
Organism: Alligator mississippiensis (American alligator)
Lineage: Eukaryota; Metazoa; Chordata; Crocodylia; Alligatoridae
Exons: 3
Source: RefSeq, a predicted model, not a curated record
AUUUAAGUGAAAGGUCUGAUGUGAAAAAAGUGCAAGCAACUUGGACAUGCCAAAACUUGAUGUCUCUGUAUCAUAUCAAAACUGUACAGGUGUUCUGCAUAUGAUACCUUCAGGAAAACCUGCCUGGGGACAUCACUGAGCACAGACAGAGAAUGAGAACAAUGGCAGACAGAAAAGGAAGGCGGUUUUGAUCGUGUGUAGACAAAACAAUCUGACUGCAGAUCAUUAAGGAAGGGGCUGCAGGAAAGGAUGGGCCAGUGCCAGCUGCUUGUUUUCUCCUGCACGGCCAUUCCAUUUGGAGCUGAUGUAUCACGAAUAAUGGAUCUUUACUAGGCCCACAUCAACGACAGGUGAGGUAGCAUACAGUUAGAUUAACUAUGAUCAAAGACAUGAUUUAAGUCUAGAUGACUGGAAUCCCAAGUGAGUGAAUCAUUCUAGAGCAACUGAGAAAGGUUUGCUGUGAACCUGUUUAAGCACCAUGAAAAUGUUGUGUUGCUUGGGAAAGGCAGCAGGUGUUGUGUAGAACAGAAAUCCUUCACUCCGUUGCAGCAGACUCUCAGACACCUGCUCAAAUACAUUUCAGUAUUAACUAGGACUGUUGUGGGAAAUUGGAAAGCUUAGGCUUUCCACCCAUUCAGUUUGCCCCUGCAUCAGGGAUUUGAGUUCAGUCCCAGUCCGUAGUGACUAAAAAGUCAUACCACCUGUCAGUGGCAUGCGUGUAAUUGUGUCAUAAAACGAGAGAAAAAUAGAGCAGAAAGGGAACUUUAAACUUCAUUUGUUUCAAACUCCCUACCACCUACUCAAGGCAGCAUCAUCUAUACCGUUAAAGGCGAGUAUUUGACUAACCAAUACUUAACAGACAUACAAAAAUGAGAGGUUUUGACCACUAGCUGGUGUUUGGCUACUAUCUUUUCUAAGUACAGAAGCAAAACAAGAGCAUUUAAACUGACCACCAUGCAAUUCUACUUUUUUCACAACUGUGACAUAAAGAGGCAGAUGCAGAAAUCUUUGAAAGUUUGUAAAAACAUUAUUUUCUUGGUUGAGUUCUCAUGAAACCUGGUCCAAAGCUCAGUGAAGUCAGUGUAAAGAUUCUCCAUGACUUCAAUGAGCAUUGGACCAAGCCUGGAGACAGUAUGUGUCUACAGGAAUAUUUGUGCAGCAGUUAAGUUCCCUGAAAAGGGAAGUUUGCUAUGAAAAUGGAGACAGUCACUAACUUAAAUUUUGUUCAAAGUCCACUGACAGCACCGGAAAUAGCCUUAUUGAAUCCUCAGAACAUCCUUCUGAUAUAAAAUACACAAUUAUGGUCAAGACACGGGACUAGGAAUUGUGAGAUUUAAGUUCUAUUCUUGUCCAUGUGACAGAUGUGCUGUUGUGAUCGUACACAAGCUGUGUCACCAUACAGUGCUUCAGUUGAUCCUUCUGUAAAAUGGGGAUAAUAUUAUAUUGCCUACUGCAAAGAAGUGUUGAGAGGAAUGAGUCAUUUUAAACUGUUUGAGAUUUUCUGACAACAGAUUUUAGGGAAGUACACAGUAUUAUUGUUGCAGCAAUUACCACGGGAAUGUGCCUGUGAAAAAUUAACCUGAAAUUAUUUGAUACAUUAAUGAUUUUACAAAUCCCUAGCAACUCCACUGGCGCCAAUGGAGUUACCCCAAAUCAGUACAUGGCAGAAUCUGGCUCUAAGCAAAGACAAGCAUAUACAAUAACUUGUGGAGGAGAGAUAAAACUUGUAUUAUGAGCAGCUUCUGAAAAUCACCAGUUUUGUUUCCAUUCCUUUUGCUAAACCACAGCAAAAACAAACAAUGUUUCAUUAUUAAUUGAAUAAUGUAAAAACAUAAGUGGUUGUAAUAAAUGUAAUGAGAAGAAACUGCAAUGAGAAAACGUGGUACAAUUAUUACAAGUGUGUGUGUGUAUGUGUGUGUGCGCGCAAACGCACACAUGCAU